AGUGAACGCUGGCGGUAGGCCUAACACAUGCAAGUCGAACGGCAGCACAGUAAGAGCUUGCUCUUACGGGUGGCGAGUGGCGGACGGGUGAGGAAUACAUCGGAAUCUACUUUUUCGUGGGGGAUAACGUAGGGAAACUUACGCUAAUACCGCAUACGACCUGCGGGUGAAAGCAGGGGAUCUUCGGACCUUGCGCGAUUGAAUGAGCCGAUGUCGGAUUAGCUAGUUGGCGGGGUAAAGGCCCACCAAGGCGACGAUCCGUAGCUGGUCUGAGAUGAUGAUCAGCCACACUGGAACUGAGACACGGUCCAGACUCCUACGGGAGGCAGCAGUGGGGAAUAUUGGACAAUGGGCGCAAGCCUGAUCCAGCCAUACCGCGUGGGUGAAGAAGGCCUUCGGGUUGUAAAGCCCUUUUGUUGGGAAAGAAAAGCAGCAGGUUAAUACCCCGCUGUUCUGACGGUACCCAAAGAAUAAGCACCGGCUAACUUCGUG
Molecule: ribosomal RNA, 492 nt
Filed under: uncultured bacterium
Lineage: Bacteria
Description: partial 16S ribosomal RNA
Rfam family: Bacterial small subunit ribosomal RNA
Source: RNAcentral